GACGAACGCUGGCGGCAUGCUUAACACAUGCAAGUCGAACGGCAAGGCCCUGCUUUUGUGGGGUGCUCGAGUGGCGAACGGGUGAGUAACACGUGAGUAACCUGCCCUUGACUUUGGGAUAACUUCAGGUAACUGGGGCUAAUCCCGGAUCGCAUCUCCUCCUGCAUUGUGGGCGUUGGAUCGUUUCGGCGGUUGGGGUUGGAUUCGCGGCUUAUCAGUUUGUUGGUGGGGUAGUGGCUUACCAAGGGUUUGGAGGGUAGGCGGCCUGGGAGGGUGAACGGGGACAUGGGGACUGAGAGACGGCCCAGAGGCGUACGGGAGGCAGCAGUGGGGAAUAUGGCACAAUGGGCGGAAGCCGGAGGCAGAAACGCCGGGGGCGGGAUGACGGCCUGCGGGGUGUAAACCGCUGUCGCCUGUGACGAAGCGGGAGUGACGGUAAUGGGUAAAGAAGCACCGGCUAACUACGUG
This 468-nucleotide ribosomal RNA is filed under the name uncultured bacterium. Its description in RNAcentral is "partial 16S ribosomal RNA". It matches the Rfam family "Bacterial small subunit ribosomal RNA", at positions 28 to 507 of the family's 1533-position model. The record is from RNAcentral.